CCCUUAGAUGUCCUGGGCCGCACGCGCGCUACACUGACAUGUUCAACAAGCCUCCUAGUUCGACAGGAUUUGGGAAAUCUUUGAACGCAUGUCGUGAUAGGGAUAGAUCAUUGCAAUUAUUGAUCUUGAACGAGGAAUUCCUAGUAAACGCGAGUCAUCAGCUCGCAUUGAUUACGUCCCUGCCCUUUGUACACACCGCCCGUCGCACCUACCGAUUGAAUGGUCCGGUGAAGCGUUUGGACUAUGGUUUUCUGAUGGUCCGCCGUUGGAUUACCGUGGGAAGUUCGUUAAACCUUAUCAUUUAGAGGAAGGAGAAGUCGUAACA
RNAcentral lists this ribosomal RNA (325 nucleotides) under uncultured eukaryote. RNAcentral's name for it is "partial 18S ribosomal RNA". It matches the Rfam family "Eukaryotic small subunit ribosomal RNA", at positions 1470 to 1796 of the family's 1831-position model. The record is from RNAcentral.